Long non-coding RNA from Passer domesticus (house sparrow), 1181 nucleotides. RefSeq lists it as uncharacterized. The record is from RefSeq and is a predicted model, not a curated record. NCBI's taxonomy places the organism in Eukaryota, Metazoa, Chordata, Aves, Passeriformes, Passeridae. The transcript is spliced from 3 exons.
AUUUUGGAUGGCUGGUUGGUUGGAUUUUUUUGUUCAGUUUAAUUUUUAGGAAAAUGUAGGAUUUCUUUAAUUUCUUCCUCGGAAUUAAUCUAGAAAUGGAGAUAAUUGACAAAUGGGGAGUAUGUUUGCUUUUCCUUCCUUGUUUGAAACAGACUGCAUCUCCAUUACUCAAAUUCAUGACUGUAUCAAUCUUAUUGAAGAUCUAACCACUAUGCUGUACUAGAAUGCUCUUCUUGUUCUUGUUUUUUCAGAGGGAAAGUAUCACCUGACCUUUUUUUCCCAUCCAUCCAUAUCUCAGCAUGAAGCCUCAGCAAAUCCCCAGUUUUACUCUCCAAAGAAGGACUGUAUCUUCAAUAAUGGUCUCCAUUCUGGAUUGACGAGACUUCUGAAUACUUGUGCAUGAAAACCAUUGGCCUAACAUUCCAAGAUAACAGGAGAGCCAAAUUCUAGUGUCUAUACGUGAUAGUGAGGAUUCAACCCUGGAAUCCUUUUGAAAGUUUCAGAGGCUGUUAGCCAAGGAUGUACGUGGCUACCCACCUGGGAGUGCUACACAGCGCCACAAUGCACUGCCUUCAAAGAGUGGAAAAAUAAUGCUCUAAUAAAACAGACAAAGCCCCACCACACCAGCUAUGGGGAAGCAUGUCUUUGAGGACCUAGCACAGCUUUAAACUGCACUGGAUACAAUUUGGACAGUAGGAGAUAAGACACGGGCAUGGGACUAUUUUUGUUCAAUGUUCAUUGCUGCAUGACUCAGCAGAGCACUAAGAGUUGCCACCAAAGAAGAAAGGCUGCAUUGGACUGUACUAGGCUUGUCCGAAACAACUCUGAGUGAAAGCUCAGUGCUUUUUUUGCUGUAUGUAUCAUUAACUUGGAUUUGUUAAUCAGAAAAUAAUUAGGAGAAAAAGAGCAGGUUUGGUUUCCAUUCCUUCUGAAUAAGAAGAGACUGGCCACUUAGUAAGGGAAGGAGUAAGAAUCCUCUUCUAAGUGCAGUCAAAAACCUUGAGCUGUCUUUUGAUCCUGAUUUUCCAGGCCACACGAAUAGGUUCUUCUGCAAAUUAUUUUUUUUAGGAGCACUGACAGAGGCUACAAAUAAGUGUAAACACGUAGCUAAAGAAGUGUGUUGACUAGGCCUGUGUUUUAAAAGUUUCACUGAUCUUAUGGAUGAACAUGACCAAAAAUCU